Molecule: ribosomal RNA, 253 nt
Filed under: uncultured bacterium
Lineage: Bacteria
Description: partial 16S ribosomal RNA
Rfam family: Bacterial small subunit ribosomal RNA
Source: RNAcentral
UACGGGGGGGGCAAGCGUUGUUCGGAAUUACUGGGCGUAAAGGGCUCGUAGGCGGCCAACUAAGUCAGACGUGAAAUCCCUCGGCUUGACCGGGGAACUGCGUCUGAUACUGGAUGGCUUGAGUUUGGGAGAGGGAUGCGGAAUUCCAGGUGUAGCGGUGAAAUGCGUAGAUAUCUGGAGGAACACCGGUGGCGAAGGCGGCAUCCUGGACCAACACUGACGCUGAGGAGCGAAAGCCAGGGGAGCAAACGGG